RNAcentral lists this non-coding RNA (28 nucleotides) under Rattus norvegicus (Norway rat). Lineage: Eukaryota; Metazoa; Chordata; Mammalia; Rodentia; Muridae. The record is from RNAcentral.
UGUAUGUGAUCAAGGAUCUAGUCCCUGU